Asparagus officinalis (garden asparagus) is the source of this 603-nucleotide long non-coding RNA. RefSeq lists it as uncharacterized. The record is from RefSeq and is a predicted model, not a curated record. The transcript is spliced from 2 exons. NCBI's taxonomy places the organism in Eukaryota, Viridiplantae, Streptophyta, Magnoliopsida, Asparagales, Asparagaceae.
AUGUAGCCUUAACAAAUUAAAAAAAUGUGACAAAACUUGCCUAGUAGGCUAGCUUGAAUGCUUUCUUUACUUCUUCUGUCGAAUGCUCCUUCUUCUUCUUCUUCAACAGGGUGCUUCUUUCUUCAAGAACUAGAAAAAUGGAGAGAGAAAACUUGGCUCUGAUACCAGUGAUUGAACUUAAGGAAGAAGAAAGAACAGAUUUUUAAGGGGCUCCGGUAAUGGGAGCGUAGAUUGUAACAUUUUUAUGGUGGGAUACAUAUAUUCCAUCAUCAAUGGCACACCUAACGUAACGCACAGCUACCCCUCAAUCAGAAACCAUUCGUCAAUGCACACUAACUUUCCAAUCAAAUACAUGAGAGAAUCCCCCACUAUUGGCAUUCGAUCAGAUCUUCGCAUUGAUGUCACAUUGCAACCCAAACGGCAAAUCAACUACAGCCUGCAAUAUGAUGUACCAAGUAGUAUCUAAUGUAUCGUGUUGUAUGGAAUUUUCUAUAUUAUGUAUAUAUAGAUGAUUUGUGUGCAUAUUGUAUCAAAUGCACUAUCCAAUGUAUCAUGUUGUAUCAAAUUUAUCAGUGUAACUAGUAGAAAUGUAUCUAGUAGAAA